CUCUGUGACUCCUACGGGGAGGCAGCAGUGGGGAAUAGUUGCACAAUGGGGGAAACCCUGAUGCAGCCAUGCCGCGUGUGUGAAGAAGGCCUUCGGGUUGUAAAGCACUUUCAGUAGGGAGGAAGGUAGUGUAGUUAACACCUGCACUAUUUGACGUUACCUACAGAAGAAGCACCGGCUAACUCCGUGCCAGCAGCCGCGGUAAUACGGAGGGUGCGAGCGUUAAUCGGAAUUACUGGGCGUAAAGCGCAUGCAGGCGGCCUGUUAAGUCAGAUGUGAAAGCCCGGGGCUUAACCUCGGAAUUGCAUUUGAAACUGGCAGGCUAGAGUCUUGUAGAGGGGGGUAGGAAUUUCAGGUGUAGCGGUGAAAUGCGUAGAGAUCUGAAGGAAUACCAGUGGCGAAGGCGGCCCCCUGGACAAAGACUGACGCUCAGAUGCGAAAGCGUGGGGAGCAAACAGGAUUAGAUACCCUGGUAG
RNAcentral lists this ribosomal RNA (476 nucleotides) under uncultured bacterium. RNAcentral's name for it is "bacterial SSU rRNA". It matches the Rfam family "Bacterial small subunit ribosomal RNA", at positions 328 to 793 of the family's 1533-position model. The record is from RNAcentral.